Molecule: ribosomal RNA, 253 nt
Filed under: uncultured bacterium
Lineage: Bacteria
Description: partial 16S ribosomal RNA
Rfam family: Bacterial small subunit ribosomal RNA
Source: RNAcentral
UACAGAGGUCUCAAGCGUUGUUCGGAAUCAUUGGGCGUAAAGCGCGUGUAGGCGGCCCGGUAAGUCCGCUGUGAAAGUCGGGGGCUCAACCCUCGAAUGCCGGUGGAUACUGUCGGGCUAGAGUGCGGGAGAGGCGAGUGGAAUUCCUGGUGUAGCGGUGAAAUGCGCAGAUAUCAGGAGGAACACCAAUUGCGAAGGCAGCUCGCUGGAACGUAACUGACGCUGAGACGCGAAAGCGUGGGGAGCAAACAGG